AGUGAACGCUGGCGGUAGGCCUAACACAUGCAAGUCGAACGGCAGCACAGUAAGAGCUUGCUCUUACGGGUGGCGAGUGGCGGACGGGUGAGGAAUACAUCGGAAUCUACCUUUUCGUGGGGGAUAACGUAGGGAAACUUACGCUAAUACCGCAUACGACCUACGGGUGAAAGCAGGGGAUCUUCGGACCUUGCGCGAUUGAAUGAGCCGAUGCCGGAUUAGCUAGUUGGCGGGGUAAAGGCCCACCAAGGCGACGAUCCGUAGCUGGUCUGAGAGGAUGAUCAGCCACACUGGAACUGAGACACGGUCCAGACUCCUACGGGAGGCAGCAGUGGGGAAUAUUGGACAAUGGGCGCAAGCCUGAUCCAGCCAUACCGCGUGGGUGAAGAAGGCCUUCGGGUUGUAAAGCCCUUUUGUUGGGAAAGAAAAGCAGCAGGUUAAUACCCCGCUGUUCUGACGGUACCCAAAGAAUAAGCACCGGCUAACUUCGUG
RNAcentral lists this ribosomal RNA (492 nucleotides) under uncultured bacterium. Its description in RNAcentral is "partial 16S ribosomal RNA". It matches the Rfam family "Bacterial small subunit ribosomal RNA", at positions 29 to 507 of the family's 1533-position model. The record is from RNAcentral.